AGUGGUGACUAGUGACAGAGUUAGGGAGGGAAGGGGUGACUAGUGACAGAGUGAGGAAGGGGGUGACUAGUGGCAGAGGGAGGUGGUGACUAGGGACAGAGUGAGGGAGGUUGUGACUAGUGAUAGUCACCACCUCCCUCACUCUGUCCCUAGUCACCACCUCCCUCACUCUGUCACUGUGUCACCCACUCCCUCCCUCACUCUGUCACCAGUCACCACUUCCUUCCCUCACUCUGUCACCAGUCACCCCUUCCUUCACUCACUCUGCCACUAGUCAACCCUUCCCUCACU
Pelobates cultripes (western spadefoot toad) is the source of this 291-nucleotide non-coding RNA. NCBI's taxonomy places the organism in Eukaryota, Metazoa, Chordata, Amphibia, Anura, Pelobatidae. The record is from the annotation of a GenBank genome assembly.